Molecule: small RNA, 430 nt
Filed under: Pongo abelii (Sumatran orangutan)
Lineage: Eukaryota; Metazoa; Chordata; Mammalia; Primates; Hominidae
Description: retained intron
Source: RNAcentral
CGGCCCACUGUGGUGGAAUGUCUACGGGAAACUGAUGCCUCCCUCAGCCGGAGAGCCCUGGAACUGAGCCUGGCUCUGGUAAAUAGCUCCAACGUGCGAGCCAUGAUGCAAGAGCUGCAGGCCUUUCUGGAGUCCUGCCCUCCUGACCUACGGGCUGACUGUGCCUCAGGCAUCCUGCUGGCUGCAGAGAGGUGAGGUGCCCAGGAGUCAAAGAGGGUAGAAUCUGGGGAGGGUCAGUACCAGGACUGAUGAGCCAUAUAUCCCCUAGGUUUGCUCCAACCAAACGCUGGCACAUAGACACCAUCCUGCAUGUGCUGACAACGGUGAGGCAGGGGCCAGUCAGAGAGCUGGGCAGAAGUGGUCAGGAUUCACCACACUGACUUGGCCAUGCCCACACCUUCCAGGCGGGCACCCACGUGCGGGAUGAUGC